This 497-nucleotide ribosomal RNA is filed under the name uncultured bacterium. Its description in RNAcentral is "partial 16S ribosomal RNA". It matches the Rfam family "Bacterial small subunit ribosomal RNA", at positions 28 to 507 of the family's 1533-position model. The record is from RNAcentral.
GACGAACGCUGGCGGCGUGCCUAAUACAUGCAAGUUGAGCGCUGAAGGUUGGUACUUGUACCAACUGUAUGAGCAGCGAACGGGUGAGUAACGCGUGGGGAAUCUGCCUUUGAGCGGGGGACAACAUUUGGAAACGAAUGCUAAUACCGCAUAAAAACUUUAAACACAAGUUUUAAUUUUGAAAGAUGCAAUUGCAUCACUCAACGAUGAUCCCUCGUUUUAUUAGAUAGUUGGUUAGGUAAAGGCUCACCAAAGCGAUGCUACACAGACGACCUGAGAGGGUGAUCGGGCCCAUUGGGACUGAGACACGGCCCACACUCCUCCGGGAGGCAGCAGUAGGGAAUCUUCGGCAAUGGACGAAAGUCUGACAGAGAAAAGCCGCGUGAGUGAAGAAGGUUUUCGGAUAGUAAAAAUCUGUUGGUAGAGAAGAACGUUGGUGAGAGUGGAAAGCUCAUCAAGUGACGGUAACUAAACAGAAAGGGAAGGCUAAAUACGUG